AGCUCCAUUAGCGUAUAUUAAAGUUGUUGCAGUUAAAAAGCUCGUAGUUGGAUUUCGGUGUGGGCCAGUCGGUCGGCCGCAAGGCUUGUUCACUGGCUGGUCUGCUCUCUCAAUCUCAAAGACUGCACGUGCUCUUCACUGUAGUGUGUGUCAGGAUUUGGGACGUUUACUUUGAAAAAAUUAGAGUGUUCCACGCAGGCGCGUUCCGCCCGAAUAAUGGUGCAUGGAAUAAUGGAAUAGGACCUCGGUUCUAUUUUGUUGGUUUUCGGAACUAGAGGUAAUGAUUAAGAGGGACAGACGGGGGCAUUCGUAUUGCGGUGUUAGAGGUGAAAUUCUUGGAUCGCCGCAAGACGAACUACUGCGAAAGCAUUUGCCAAGAAUGUUUUCAUUAAUCAAGAAC
RNAcentral lists this ribosomal RNA (400 nucleotides) under phytoplankton environmental sample. RNAcentral's name for it is "partial small subunit ribosomal RNA". It matches the Rfam family "Eukaryotic small subunit ribosomal RNA", at positions 587 to 984 of the family's 1831-position model. The record is from RNAcentral.